Molecule: long non-coding RNA, 529 nt
Filed under: Bos indicus x Bos taurus (hybrid cattle)
Lineage: Eukaryota; Metazoa; Chordata; Mammalia; Artiodactyla; Bovidae
Description: lncRNA (ENSBIXG00005030155.1)
Source: RNAcentral
UCCAUAUGAUUGCUUUCCUGCUCUGGGACCUGCCUGACUGAUCUCUUCUUUCCAGAUGUCAGACAACUCUCUAAUCAGCUCUUUGGAGAAUGGCAAAAAUGUCAUCAGUGAUGAUGAAAAAGACCAGGAGGAAGUGUCAGACAAGUCUCUAAUCAGCUCUUUGGAGAAUGGCAAAAAUGUCAUCAGUGAUGAUGAAAAAGACCAGGAGGAAGUGUGAACGUGGGGCCCGAGUUGAAAAGGCUCUCAUCUGAAUCCCUGAAGACCUGGACCUGGACCCCAUCCUGGACCCCAGAGGCGGUGGAGCCCACACAGCACGAGGAGCCUCAUUUGGAUCAGAUUAGGGGAGGCCUCACUGCUUCUUUCCUGAGGGCCCUCAUUUAGUACAGCUUCAGUUGUUUUGUUGUAUAGAUUUAGUAUUAGUUUUAUCUAGUUUUAUCUACAAGUUCUGUAUGUAUCUGUAUGUUCAAUGUUUAUAGGUAAGGUUUUUCAUUAAAGGUUUAAAAUCUAUUUGUUAUUUUUACAAAAUAUU